GGGUUUGUGAAGAGUUUGUGUGAAUGCGGAUGAAUAAAAUCAACACACGGAUGCAAAUAGAAAUGUAAAACUGAAAUGCAGACAGAAACAUAAAAACGAAAUCAAAUACAGAAUAAAAACGGUAGGUCAUUAAUUCAAUUACUAUGCUUCCAAUCCCCGAUUAAAGACAAGUACACACUACUCUAAUCCAAAUCCAACACGAAUCAACCAACUAAGCGAAGGCUAAUUCGGUCUUGAAAAUCGCAGACUAAGCGAAUGAAAUGCAUAAAUUUAAUCAGUCAAGCACCAUACAGUAUAAUCAACUAAGCGAAGAUUAAACACCGAUUAGGCAACUAAGCGUUUACCUAAUCGCAAGCACACAACAAAAUAAAUAUUGAGCCAAAUCAGAGCAGCCGUAAACAUAAAGACAAUCCAAUAAAUCUCAAGGAAGCAAAGUAGUAUCACUAACGACCAACCCG
RNAcentral lists this long non-coding RNA (458 nucleotides) under Vigna radiata. RNAcentral's name for it is "long non-coding RNA (VRAD_LNC012279)". Lineage: Eukaryota; Viridiplantae; Streptophyta; Magnoliopsida; Fabales; Fabaceae. The record is from RNAcentral.